GAUGAACGCUGGCGGCGUGCCUAAUACAUGCAAGUCGAGCGAACGGACGAGAAGCUUGCUUCUCUGAUGUUAGCGGCGGACGGGUGAGUAACACGUGGAUAACCUACCUAUAAUACUGGGAUAACUUCGGGAAACCGGAGCUAAUACCGGAUAAUAUUUUGAACCGCAUGGUUCAAAAGUGAAAGACGGUCUUGCUGUCACUUAUAGAUGGAUCCGCGCUGCAUUAGCUAGUUGGUAAGGUAACGGCUUACCAAGGCAACGAUGCAUAGCCGACCUGAGAGGGUGAUCGGCCACACUGGAACUGAGACACGGUCCAGACUCCUACGGGAGGCAGCAGUAGGGAAUCUUCCGCAUUGGGCGAAAGCCUGACGGAGCAACGCCGCGUGAGUGAUGAAGGUCUUCGGAUCGUAAAACUCUGUUAUUAGGGAAGAACAUAUGUGUAAGUAACUGUGCACAUCUUGACGGUACCUAAUCAGAAAGCCACGGCUAACUACGUG
This 497-nucleotide ribosomal RNA is filed under the name uncultured bacterium. RNAcentral's name for it is "partial 16S ribosomal RNA". It matches the Rfam family "Bacterial small subunit ribosomal RNA", at positions 28 to 507 of the family's 1533-position model. The record is from RNAcentral.